This is a long non-coding RNA of Herpailurus yagouaroundi (jaguarundi), 457 nucleotides long. RefSeq lists it as uncharacterized. The record is from RefSeq and is a predicted model, not a curated record. The transcript is spliced from 2 exons. NCBI's taxonomy places the organism in Eukaryota, Metazoa, Chordata, Mammalia, Carnivora, Felidae.
GGGAUGUGGCUGUACGCAUCAAGGUUGUCCACGGUCUCCGGAUCCAACUGCAUCGAAUCCAUGAACUGGCUGUGAGGGCAAGAGGACCAGGCAGCACUGGGGACCCCACAGACAUCUGCUGUGUCACCUCCAGCCCCACACUCACUCCAGGACUUCAUUCUUGUCCUCAAUCUUGGCCAUCAUCUCCCGAAGCAGCUUGGCCUUCUCCUCACUGCAGAAGUGACAGCAGUUGUUGGAAACCUAUGUCCUGAGACAUCCCAACCCCACGUGUGCUAAGAACGGGGCCGGCCCCUCCCGCCCACCUGUACAGUGACGACGCUUCGUGGGCAGCCAUGGGUACCAGUUUGGCAAAGAUGUCAGGGCCCGUGACGGCCGGGUCUGUGGGGUUCACUGGUAAGGGCUUUACCAAGGGGGCACCUGGGAGGGAGAGGAACAACUGGAAACCAAGUCCACACAA